Molecule: long non-coding RNA, 278 nt
Filed under: Elaeis guineensis (African oil palm)
Lineage: Eukaryota; Viridiplantae; Streptophyta; Magnoliopsida; Arecales; Arecaceae
Description: long non-coding RNA (EGUI_LNC063892)
Source: RNAcentral
GUGUUGAUGGUCUCCGUAUCGCUAAUGAGCUAUUUUUCAAAGUUUGCAUAUUUAAAAAUGCAUCACAAGACACUGAUGGAGACCGAUGUUGAUUGGUCAAAACGGUAACCAAGUGGUCAAUUUGCUUCGACACCAUCAAGCAAGAGUUUUCUUGUUGGCUUACUAUGGGUCUCACAACCAUUGCAAACUAACUCGUUAAAGCUUCUACCAGGUCUUUCCGACUAUCACUUAGAUGAAAUCUAACCUAUGCCACAGUCUCGCACAUCUAGUUAACUACC